RNAcentral lists this ribosomal RNA (637 nucleotides) under uncultured bacterium. RNAcentral's name for it is "bacterial SSU rRNA". The stretch from base 1 to 540 matches the Rfam family "Bacterial small subunit ribosomal RNA", at positions 338 to 873 of the family's 1533-position model. The record is from RNAcentral.
CCUACGGGAGGCAGCAGUAAGGAAUAUUGGUCAAUGGACGGAAGUCUGAACCAGCCAUGCCGCGUGCAGGAUGACGGCCCUCUGGGUUGUAAACUGCUUUUUAUAGGGGACGAAAAAAGGGGAUUCUUCCUCACUUGACGGUACCCUAGGAAUAAGCACCGGCUAACUCCGUGCCAGCAGCCGCGGUAAUACGGAGGGUGCAAGCGUUAUCCGGAUUUACUGGGUUUAAAGGUGCGUAGGUGGGUCGGUAAGUCAGCGGUGAAAUCUUCGAGCUUAACUCGGAAACUGCCAUUGAUACUAUCGAUCUUGAAUCGUCUAGAGGUAAGCGGAAUAUGUCAUGUAGCGGUGAAAUGCUUAGAUAUGACAUAGAACACCAAUUGCGAAGGCAGCUUACUAUGGAUGUAUUGACACUGAGGCACGAAAGCGUGGGGAUCAAACAGGAUUAGAUACCCUGGUAGUCCACGCCCUAAACGAUGGAUACUCGACAUUUGAGAUAUACCUUUAAGGUUGUCUGUAGAGAAGACUAUUAAGUAUACCACCGUACGGAAGGUACGUAGUCGCGACGAGUUAGUAACGUAACGAAGUAAGUAGUAGUACGUAGUAGAGACGACGACGACGACGACGACGGAGGGAGGAG